Molecule: small nuclear RNA, 106 nt
Organism: Fukomys damarensis (Damara mole-rat)
Lineage: Eukaryota; Metazoa; Chordata; Mammalia; Rodentia; Bathyergidae
Source: Ensembl
GUGCCCACUUCUGUGGCAUGCAUACGAGACUUGGAACAGGACUGAAAGAUCAGCAUGGCCCUUGUGAGAGGGUGACACACAAAUUAGAGAAAUGUUCCUUGAAAUA